This 87-nucleotide transfer RNA is filed under the name Virgisporangium ochraceum. Its description in RNAcentral is "tRNA-Asn". The record is from RNAcentral. Lineage: Bacteria; Bacillati; Actinomycetota; Actinomycetes; Micromonosporales; Micromonosporaceae.
GGCAUGGUGGCCGACGGCGUGGCCCGGGGCGUGUUCCGCUCCGACAUCGACGCGAAGAUCGCGACGUUCGGGCUCGUCGGCAUGUGC